This 253-nucleotide ribosomal RNA is filed under the name uncultured bacterium. RNAcentral's name for it is "partial 16S ribosomal RNA". It matches the Rfam family "Bacterial small subunit ribosomal RNA", at positions 524 to 776 of the family's 1533-position model. The record is from RNAcentral.
UACAUGGGGGGCAAGCGUUGUUCGGAAUUACUGGGCAUAAAGGGUGCGUAGGCGGCUUGUUAAGUCAGGGGUGAAAGUUUUCGGCCCAACCGGAAAAUUGCCUUUGAUACUGGCGAGCUGGAGUGCGUGAGGGGUGACCGGAACGAGUGGUGUAGCGGUGAAAUGCGUAGAUAUCAUUUGGAACGCCAAUGGUGAAAACAGGUAGCUGGGGCUGUACUGACACUGAGACACGAAAGCCAGGGGAGCAAACGGG